Molecule: ribosomal RNA, 248 nt
Filed under: uncultured bacterium
Lineage: Bacteria
Description: partial 16S ribosomal RNA
Rfam family: Bacterial small subunit ribosomal RNA
Source: RNAcentral
UACGGGGGGGGGCAAGCGUUGUUCGGAAUUACUGGGCGUAAAGGGCUCGUAGGCGGCCAACUAAGUCGGAUGUGAAAUCCCCCAGCUUAACCUGGGAACUGCAUCCGAUACUGGUUGGCUUGAAUCCGGGAGAGGGAUGCAGAAUUCCAGGUGUAGCGGUGAAAUGCGUAGAUAUCUGGAGGAAUACCGGUGGCGAAGGCGGCAUCCUGGACCGGCAUUGACGCUGAACAGCGAAAAGCUAGGGGGAG